Molecule: ribosomal RNA, 495 nt
Filed under: uncultured bacterium
Lineage: Bacteria
Description: partial 16S ribosomal RNA
Rfam family: Bacterial small subunit ribosomal RNA
Source: RNAcentral
UGACCGCUGGCGGCGUGCCUAAUACAUGCAAGUCGAGCGAACAGACGAGGAGCUUGCUCCUCUGACGUUAGCGGCGGACGGGUGAGUAACACGUGGAUAACCUACCUAUAAGACUGGGAUAACUUCGGGAAACCGGAGCUAAUACCGGAUAAUAUAUUGAACCGCAUGGUUCAAUAGUGAAAGACGGUUUUGCUGUCACUUAUAGAUGGAUCCGCGCCGCAUUAGCUAGUUGGUAAGGUAACGGCUUACCAAGGCGACGAUGCGUAGCCGACCUGAGAGGGUGAUCGGCCACACUGGAACUGAGACACGGUCCAGACUCCUACGGGAGGCAGCAGUAGGGAAUCUUCCGCAAUGGGCGAAAGCUUGACGGAGCAACGCCGCGUGAGUGAUGAAGGUCUUCGGAUCGUAAAACUCUGUUAUUAGGGAAGAACAAAUGUGUAAGUAACUAUGCACGUCUUGACGGUACCUAAUCAGAAAGCCACGGCUAACUACGUG